This 162-nucleotide unclassified non-coding RNA is filed under the name uncultured fungus. RNAcentral's name for it is "sequence contains ITS1". Lineage: Eukaryota; Fungi. The record is from RNAcentral.
UUGAUCGUUGCGUUACACCUUCAGACCCUACCGACAAUCGAUGCUUCCUCCAAACGGGACCAUGCACAGGUUGCUCGGGAUGCUCGGGAUGACCCCGAACGGUGUUCGGGAUCCCCCGGCGGGACCGAGAAUAUGAUCCUUCCGCAGGUUCACCUACGGAAA